AAAUCGGAUCAAAACUACAGAGGAAUUUAAUAGAAUGUACGUAAAGCAUUAGUUUAAACUUCUGUUCGAAGUUUAUCGCGUGAUUACACUGACGUUGCAAGCAACCGACUGAACAUGGCGGAAGGAGGCGCCGAUCGUUACAUGUCAGAAACUGAACGCAGCUUGCACAGUCGUCACUCCCAGGUGAUCACAAAAACGCAAGCGUAGAAUAAAUCUUUCGCUUAUCAACCUAAACGACGCAGGUUGGACAUGGCCAGCAAACAAGUGGUACAGGCGACGGAUUCUAAAUGCCGAUCACUUAAUCACGAAGAUGAUACUCUUCGAGCGACUACAGUCUGGACGCCUACACGUAGUCCCCGGGAUCCUUAUUGUAGUCCCCGAGAACAGGGCGUGAGGUCCACAAACUCUUGGACAACGACAAAGAAGAGGAAGCAAAGAAUGAACAGAUAGGCAGCAUUUUGACAGAAAGGCGACCAAUAAGCUUCUACACCGUGAACAAAGGUCCCUGGUUCCAACCAUGGUCAAGCCUUUCGAUCAAAAUUGAAGGCUGUUUUUACAGGUCACGGCUGGGACGCCAAGAACGUAUAAAUAUGAUGUGGGGUGAUUUGGAGAUGGGCAACUUGGCAGAUGGAACUAGAUACGUGUCCUACAUGGAGGGAGCCACAAAUACUAGGAAAGGCAUCAACACAGAUCACAGGAUGUUCAAACCAAAGAUAUUUGAAGAACCAGUAUUGGUUUGAGAGGUACUCUGAAGGAGCAGACUUUCAAGGGCUACACCGAGAUUACAUGGCAGACAGAAUGACUGAAUACGUAUUGCUAUUAAGAGCAGACAAUACGGUGAUGAACUAUAAUUAUUUAUUUGAACUUUUUAUACUGGGAAGAAAAUGUACUUGUCGCCAUGCAAACUUUACCUAUGUAAGCUACAAAGUUAAUGACUCAGUAGAUCAAUCGAGGUAAAUCUAACUCAAUUGUUUCAUCUGUAUUUUACAAUAUUAAAUUGUGUUAUUCUAUAAAUGAUGUUAAUGAUCCAAUGAAAAAUAGCCCUGUUAAGCAAUUAUUAGAAGCUUCAAAGCGUGUGUGUUCAAAACCAAUACACACGUUCAUCAAAGAUGAUAAAAUAAUUGUGAUUGAUAUAGAUGGAUUUUACUGAUGGGAUUGAUUUAAGCCAAUAAGCAACGGUUCUUUUAGGAUAUACAGGUUUAAUGCGUAUGAAUGAAACGCGUGAACGUCGUUGUAAUGUAGUACAAUUCAAAUCUGAUCAUUUGGAUAUUAGUGUGCGGAAUAGCAUAAUUUACAUGUAUACGAAUGGCUCGAAGAUUAUUAUCGUCAAAGGAAAUACUAUAUCUUUCCAGUAUGGCAUUUUAGAAAAUUAUACGUUAUCGACAAAAUUGUCUAAUUAAUCAAAUGAGCUAUUAUUCAAUCCAGUUUUUCAUUCUAAAUAUUAAUCAUCAUUGAUAAAGAAAGACAAAAAAUUAAGUUACACAAGAGCAAGAGAAUGUAUUGUUAAGACAUUGAAACUAGUUGAUCGUGAAUUUAAGCUUGGUUAGCACUCGCUGCGUACUAGUGGAGCCAUUAAUGUGUCAAACGCUUUGAACGUUUCCUUAAGAGGCAGAGUAGAGUGAAAACUGACAUAGCGAAAGGUGGUUUCGAUAGAUAACUAGCGGUUACAAAAACAAACUUGUAAAUUGCGAGCGUUUGUAAAUUCGUUUUGAACUACAGUUAAAAAAGAGGUAUGCAUUUGAAUGUGAUAUUAAAUCUACUAUUUUUUCCAUUGUCUAUAUGCGUCUCUCGCAAAUUGCACAAUUUUGUUGUAAUUUAUGUUUAUUUGGAAAAAAGUUAGGACUUUUAAGUACUGUGCGUUACAUUGUAUAGCGGAAUACUUUUUUUCCUGACGGACAUGAGUAAACAACCCGUUUUUAAUGUUGGUUUGUGAGUGGCCAUUUGAUCAGAAGUAAAUCGUUUUUGAAAUCGGUUCUAGCGAGAUCAUCUACAUGGUAACAUCAAUUUUAAAUUCAUAGCUUGUAAACGAUUAUACAUUUAGUGGGGCGAGCAUGCUUGGAUGUAACCCGUUAUGCCUGUACUCUGGAGAAUGGACACAAGUGCAAUACUACGGUUACACGUUUUUCUCUUCUCAUUUGUGGGGUCUUCCCACUGGGGUCGGUUUUCGUGGGCGGCUACCAUUCUUGUCAAUAAUAUAAUUGUAUGGUUAAUCUGAAGUUAAUCAUAAACAGAAGAGUAUUUAUCAUAAAGUGGUUCAAUUUAAAACCGAUAUGUCUAGUUUUGAACAAGUCGAAAUAUAACCGUAAAUUUAUUGCAGAUUUUUCCUGAAUAUGCAUUCAUGCACGGAAUACAAAUGUGAUUACAUGCAUGUCAAUUAUAUUUGUUAGUAUUUGAUAUUUUCGUAAAAGCGUAUCUGCCUUAUGAUAAAUAAAUAUGUUAAAAAACUGUGCAAAUGUAGUCACAAAUUUUGCGUCUCUCGCAAAUCGCACUACACAGCUGUUGUUAAUGUUUGUUUGGACCAUAGUUAUAGUUGUUCCAUUGUAUAAAAAAGUAAUAAAAAUGAUGUCGGCAACAACAGACCUGUAUCAAUUUUGUGUAUAGUUUCAAAAAUACUUGAAAGAAUUGUUUAUGACCAAGCAGAAAACUAUCUGAAUAAGCAGAAGUUAUUGUAUGAGUUUCAGUCAGGUUUUAGGAGAUCUUUCUCAACCGACACAUGUCUGAUACAUCUAUCUGACUAUAUAAGUUUUAACUUAGAUAAGAGUAAUUAUGUUGGCAUGGUUCUACUGGAUUUGCAAAAUGCGUUCGAUACUGUUGAUCAUAUUAUACUUUUUGAUAAACUGAAAAUGAUAGAGUUUUCCUCGGAUGUUAUUAGAUGGUUCGAAUCAUUCUUAUCUACUCGUAAACAAUGUACUGAUGAUUCUGGUAUACAAUCAUCAUUGGAAAAUGUCACUUGUGGUGUGCCCCAAGGCUCAAUACUUGGGUCGCUGCUAUUUUUAAUAUAUGUGAAUGACAUAGCAGGAGUUGUAAACAGUAAGCUUUUCUUAUAUGCUGAUGAUUCUGCUAUGCAGGUGUCUGGCAAAUCCAAACUUGAUAUUGAGUGUUUAUUAGCAAAGGAUCUGGAAAGAGGUAGUAACUGGUUAGUUGACAAUUCUUUACACCUGGGUAAAACAGUAUCAAUUUUAUUUGGCUCGAAACCUAAGUUAAAGAGGGAGCCGCACCUUAAUAUUUUGUGCACAGUCAUACAGCACACCGACUCAGUCAAAUAUUUGGGUGCUACUUUCGAUAAAUGUUUAAGUUGUUUUUGAGUAUGGUUACAUCGGUCAUUAAGAAGGCAAAUGCAAGACUUAAGUUCCUAUACAGAAAUCAACGGUUUUUAUCAUUAGAUACUAAACAAAUGUUAAGUAUGUCAUUGAUUCAAUGUCAUUUUGAUUAUGUCUGUUCUAUAUGGUAUUAUGGCAUUUAUCAGAAUCUGAAAAACAGACUCCAGGUCACACAGAACACGAUCAUUAGGUUUAUCUUCAGACUAGAUCAAAGAAGUCACAUCAAUAAAGAAUACUUUCUUCAGUUGGGCUGGUUACCUGUUGAAAAAAGAGUACAACAGAUUAUUCUUUACUAUGUUUUUAAAAUACACUCAGGUUCUGCUCUUACUUACUUUAAUGAGAAUUUUAUGCUUGCCAGUACUGUUCAUAACCAUAAAACUAGAUUUAGCAAAGGGUCAUGUUUCCGUAUCCCAAAAGGAAACGGGUUUGGCAAAAUUUCCUUCUCAUAUAAGGGAUGUUCUUUAUGGAACAGCGUACUAAUUGAUAUAAAAGAUUCCCCCAACUUACAGACAUUUAAGGUUGCAGUAAAAAAGCAUAUUUUAAAUAGGUUGUAGUUUAAUUAAUUAAGCCUGUAAUCUCCCUGUGAUGUUUAUUAUUAUAAAAAUGAUGUGCAUUUUUAUUCAAAUGUUCAUUUGCUAAGUUUACUAUCUUUAAGAACAAAGUUGUUGUGCCUUGCUAGGGCAUGUCAUCAUUCACCAGGACCACAAUGGAAGUAAAAUAAUUCCCAUUCCCUUUUUUGUGCUAUCCUGGGUAUGUGAGUAAUGCCCUGGUACACUAAGAGAGUAAUUAAUAUUUGAUUCACCAAUUUAAUAUGUUAACACAUGAUAUAAAAAGAAGCAAUAAUUAUGGGUUUUUUACCAAAAUGACUGCUAUCAAGUUGCUUUUAAGUUCUAGUCUUUUAGCUGAUGUGUGAUGUUUUACAUUUUUAUUUCAUGAAAUGUUGAAAUUUGUUAUUAUGUUGUGUACCAUGCUACAUGUAUUUUAUAUACUUAAAUAAAUCUAUCUAUUUAUAGGACAUAAAACACAAUAGUCUGUCUGUAUCUAGAACCUUGGAGUACUCUCAAAACAACUGAUUGACUGCAUCGAUUA
Dreissena polymorpha is the source of this 4409-nucleotide long non-coding RNA. RefSeq lists it as uncharacterized. The record is from RefSeq and is a predicted model, not a curated record. Lineage: Eukaryota; Metazoa; Mollusca; Bivalvia; Myida; Dreissenidae. The transcript is spliced from 6 exons.